CCUACGGGCGGCAGCAGUGGGGAAUAUUGGACAAUGGGCGAAAGCCUGAUCCAGCCAUGCCGCGUGUGUGAAGAAGGCCUUCGGGUUGUAAAGCACUUUCAGUGGGGAAGAAAGCCUUGGGGCUAAUACCCUCGAGGAAGGACAUCACCCACAGAAGAAGCACCGGCUAACUCCGUGCCAGCAGCCGCGGUAAUACGGAGGGUGCGAGCGUUAAUCGGAAUUACUGGGCGUAAAGCGCGCGUAGGCGGUCUGAUAAGCCGGUUGUGAAAGCCCCGGGCUCAACCUGGGAACGGCAUCCGGAACUGUCAGGCUAGAGUGCAGGAGAGGAAGGUAGAAUUCCCGGUGUAGCGAUGAAAUGCGUAGAGAUCGGGAGGAAUACCAGUGGCGAAGGCGGCCUUCUGGACUGACACUGACGCUGAGGUGCGAAAGCGUGGGUAGCAAACAGGAUUAGAUACCCCUGUAGUC
Molecule: ribosomal RNA, 465 nt
Filed under: Vreelandella stevensii
Lineage: Bacteria; Pseudomonadati; Pseudomonadota; Gammaproteobacteria; Oceanospirillales; Halomonadaceae
Description: partial 16S ribosomal RNA
Rfam family: Bacterial small subunit ribosomal RNA
Source: RNAcentral